GAUGAACGCUAGCGGCAGGCCUAAUACAUGCAAGUCGAACGGUAUUCAGAUGCUUGCAUUUGAAGAGAGUGGCGCACGGGUGCGUAACGCGUAUGAAACCUACCUUUAACAGGGGGAUAGCCUCUCGAAAGAGAGAUUAAUACCGCAUAAUAUCGGGAGUGGGCAUCCACAUUCGAUUAAAUAUUUAUAGGUUAAAGAUGGUCAUGCGUGACAUUAGCUAGUUGGAGAGGUAAUGGCUCACCAAGGCGACGAUGUCUAGGGGAUCUGAGAGGAUGGCCCCCCACACUGGUACUGAGACACGGACCAGACUCCUACGGGAGGCAGCAGUAAGGAAUAUUGGUCAAUGGACGGAAGUCUGAACCAGCCAUGCCGCGUGCAAGAAGAAGGCCCUACGGUUGUAAUUGCUUUAAUCGAGAAUAACAGUAACUACGUGUAGUUGUAUGAAAGUAUCGAUAGAAU
This 459-nucleotide ribosomal RNA is filed under the name uncultured bacterium. Its description in RNAcentral is "bacterial SSU rRNA". It matches the Rfam family "Bacterial small subunit ribosomal RNA", at positions 28 to 487 of the family's 1533-position model. The record is from RNAcentral.